Molecule: non-coding RNA, 75 nt
Organism: Thalictrum thalictroides
Lineage: Eukaryota; Viridiplantae; Streptophyta; Magnoliopsida; Ranunculales; Ranunculaceae
Source: the annotation of a GenBank genome assembly
AUUGGAGUAGUUCAGCUGGUUAGAGCGUGUGGUUUCUAAAGCACAAGGUCGAAGGUUCAAACCCUUCCUCCAACA